RNAcentral lists this ribosomal RNA (491 nucleotides) under uncultured bacterium. RNAcentral's name for it is "bacterial SSU rRNA". It matches the Rfam family "Bacterial small subunit ribosomal RNA", at positions 15 to 507 of the family's 1533-position model. The record is from RNAcentral.
GAUCAUGGCUCAGGAUGAACGCUAGCGGCAGGCUUAACACAUGCAAGUCGAGGGGUAGAGUUCUUCGGGACUUGAGACCGGCGCACGGGUGCGUAACGCGUAUGCAAUCUACCUUAUACAGGGGAAUAGCCCAGAGAAAUUUGGAUUAAUGCCCCAUAGUGUUAUCGAAUCGCAUGGUUUGAUAACUAAAGUUCCAACGGUAUAAGAUGAGCAUGCGUCCCAUUAGUUAGUUGGUAAGGUAACGGCUUACCAAGACAAUGAUGGGUAGGGGUCCUGAGAGGGAGAUCCCCCACACUGGUACUGAGACACGGACCAGACUCCUACGGGAGGCAGCAGUGAGGAAUAUUGGUCAAUGGGCGCAAGCCUGAACCAGCCAUGCCGCGUGCAGGAAGACGGUCCUAUGGAUUGUAAACUGCUUUUAUACAGGAAGAAACCCUCCCACGUGUGGGAGCUUGACGGUACUGUAGGAAUAAGGAUCGGCUAACUCCGUG